UACGUAGGGGGCAAGCGUUGUCCGGAAUCAUUGGGCGUAAAGAGCGUGUAGGCGGCCCGAUAAGUCCGCUGUGAAAGUCCAGGGCUCAACCCUGGGAUGCCGGUGGAUACUGUCGGGCUUGAGUCCGGAAGAGGAGUGUGGAAUGCCCGGUGGAGCGGUGAAAUGCGUAGAGAUCGGGCGGAACACCAGCGGCGAAGGCGGCGACCUGGCCCUGACCUGACGCUGAGGCGCGAGAGCGUGGGGAGCGAACGGG
This 253-nucleotide ribosomal RNA is filed under the name uncultured bacterium. RNAcentral's name for it is "partial 16S ribosomal RNA". It matches the Rfam family "Bacterial small subunit ribosomal RNA", at positions 524 to 776 of the family's 1533-position model. The record is from RNAcentral.